AACGCAAAUUGCGCUCUUGGGUAGCCCUAGGAGCACGCCUCUCUCAGUAUCGGUUCAAACACAACUCAGCAGCGUAUUGUCAUGAUACGUGUUGGCUGGAUAAUGAGAGUCUGUAUGUUCAGUACAGUCUCUUGAAAUAUAUUGAGUGAAGUCUAUCACAGUUCACACUAUCGACCUCGAGUCGAAAGCCGGUCUCUGACUGGUUGUGUUGAGAAGUGACGUGAAUAAUCGGAGAGAUUUAUCUCUUCAUAACAUUUACGUGUAACGUUAUCAACACAACUAUACCAAAGGUCUAGGAUGGCUGUAUGAGCAUAGAUGACUUCAUGUCUAACGCAACUGAAUGGUUGCAAACUUAUUGAAGAUACUUGUAUCAACAAUCUGACAUUUGAUCUGAGAUGAAGCGAGACAACCCCCUGAAUUUAA
This 423-nucleotide unclassified non-coding RNA is filed under the name uncultured fungus. Its description in RNAcentral is "sequence contains ITS2". Lineage: Eukaryota; Fungi. The record is from RNAcentral.